This 704-nucleotide ribosomal RNA is filed under the name uncultured bacterium. RNAcentral's name for it is "bacterial SSU rRNA". It matches the Rfam family "Bacterial small subunit ribosomal RNA", at positions 57 to 754 of the family's 1533-position model. The record is from RNAcentral.
GCAGUCGAACGGCAGCACGGACUUCGGUCUGGUGGCGAGUGGCGAACGGGUGAGUAAUAUAUCGGAACAUACCCUAGAGUGGGGGAUAACGUAGCGAAAGUUACGCUAAUACCGCAUACGCACUAAGGUGGAAAGUGGGGGAUCGCAAGACCUCAUGCUCAUGGAGUGGCCGAUAUCUGAUUAGCUAGUUGGUGAGGUAAAGGCUCACCAAGGCGACGAUCAGUAGCGGGUUUGAGAGAACGACCAGCCACACUGGAACUGAGACACGGUCCAGACUCCUACGGGAGGCAGCAGUGGGGAAUUUUGGACAAUGGGCGCAAGCCUGAUCCAGCAAUGCCGCGUGAGUGAAGAAGGCCUUCGGGUUGUAAAGCUCUUUUGUCAGGGAAGAAACGGUUGUUCCUAAUACGGAUGGCUAAUGACGGUACCUGAAGAAUAAGCACCGGCUAACUACGUGCCAGCAGCCGCGGUAAUACGUAGGGUGCAAGCGUUAAUCGGAAUUACUGGGCGUAAAGCGUGCGCAGGCGGUUAUAUAAGUCAGAUGUGAAAUCCCCGGGCUCAACCUGGGAACUGCAUUUGAGACUGUAUGGCUAGAGUGUGUCAGAGGGGGGGUAGAAUUCCACGUGUAGCAGUGAAAUGCGUAGAUAAUGUGGAGGAAUACCGAUGGGCGAAGGCAGCCCCCUGGGAUAACACUGACGCUCAUGCAC